Molecule: non-coding RNA, 2089 nt
Organism: Rattus norvegicus (Norway rat)
Lineage: Eukaryota; Metazoa; Chordata; Mammalia; Rodentia; Muridae
Source: RefSeq, a predicted model, not a curated record
CCUCGGUCCACGAGGUGCUCAGCCGGCCGGUGCUGCAACACUCUUCCUUGCUCAGUUCUGUCUUAUACAGGACCUGGCAGCGGCCGUUCUUGGCUUGGCGGAGCCAGCAAUUCCCAGCUGUGAAGAGACGGGGAUCAGGAGCGACUGGAAGAACAGAUUAAAGAACCUGACAAAAACAGGAUGCGACGGAUGUUUUUACAUGUUGGUUUCAUGUAGGCGGUAAGAGAAUUUUUUGUGACAGGGGUUAAGAAAGUAAGAGAGGGGGGGACGUGGAAAGGAGGGAAGGAGGGAGCGAAGGAGAGGAGGGGGGAGGGAGAAUGAAUAUGAAUCUGCAGGAACAGAUCAGGCAAAAAGAAAUUUGUGAAAAAUGAAAGCAAAAAAAAAAAAAAAAAUGCAGUCGGGCCCAGCCUGGAUCUGCCUUGAGCAGCCUCGAGGCGCAGCCCGCCCGACGGGCCCGUUUUGCAAUCCGCCAGCUCGGAGCACGCCCGCAGCCACCACGGUCUUUCGAAAUCUCCGAGGGCUGCUUUCCCUGGCGCCCACGUCCGGGCACCCAGGGCAGCGCCCCUAUCAGAAAGGCGGGUUGCCCAGCCUAGUGUCGGGCAGACGGCUAGGGCCGGUGCCCGGGAGGGCAGCGUACAACACACAAAACCUUACCGCUCCAACAGGCAACGCAGCAGUGUUAGAGCUGGGUCACACAUACCUACCUCAUGUCUACCAAGAACCACUUUACAGAUAGUUUCUUCCCCUGUCCCUUUUUAUGUCUUCGGACUUUGGACAAGCAGACUUCUCAUGAAUCACCAAAGUGACUCGAGCAAUUGGAGCGCAAGCUGCGCGGUUACCAUUAUUAAAAAAAAAUCCCGCCUGGAGACUAAUUGUAAUAAAAUAAAUCCAUUUUUAAUUUUAGAUGAUAAACUUCAGAAAUUUGCUCUUUAAUCCAGGUCGGAGUCUAAAUAGCCCGUGGGUUGCUUGUUUCACAGAAGUUAACAGGAAUGAGGCAAAGUGGAGAAAACUGUAAAGUACUUAAAAACACUUCGGGCUAAUAAUUUGGUUUGUUCUUUCUUCUUUUUCGCGGGGCUUGGGGGAGAGGGGUAGAAGGAGCAUCUGCUAAGCGUAAAACUACCUCCCUCUAAAAAUUUCAGUACCCACAUUUCCAAGUUUGGGCAAAGUUUCUGAAACCACGUCCCCCAAGCCACCCAAGAAAAUUCGGUAUCUCCCAUCCCCCACUCCGUCAUUAAAAAAAAAAAAAGUCACCAAAAGAUAUGGAAGGAAGAUGGGUAGACUGCUUAGUAGGUCGACUGCACUCUCCAAGCUAUGGAUGCUCGCUCUUCUCCCGAGCCAGCCAGGGGAGAUAACAUCUGAAGUCAUUAGGACCAGAACUUGGAGCAUCUACCCCUAACUACUGAGGCUCCAGUUCCCCCACUCGAGCCCUCUCUUUUUUGAGGAUAACCUGGCUCUAAACUCCUCUCUCUAUCCCAAAGUGUCACCGCCUUCAGUCUUUUCCUCCCGUUCCUUUCUCCAGGAGUAGCCGGGUGGUUCCAACAUCUUCCUAGAGCCGCGUCGGUCCCAACCGACCAAGUGGAGACGACAGAAAAGUAGAACCCCUGCCCGAGCCGAACCUCUGGGCGCAUCCCCUCCACUCACCCUGGGCGCUGCGGUCUUCCAUGAAUUGGCAGAGUAGCAGCAGCAGGAGGCAGAGCCCGCCGGGCUGGUGCCUGGCGCAGACCAUCCUGGGGCAGGCGCGGGGCGAGGAGCGCGGCGGCGGGUGGCUUGGGCGAGCGGCGCGCGUCGCAGAGGCGAGCGGCGGAGGGCGCAGCGAUCCCGGCGCAGCCCCGCGCUCGCCACCGGCCGCCCGCGCGAUUCAAUGGACGUCAGAAGCCGGGCGCAGCCGCGCUUUAAAUCUAGACGGGGGUCUCCGAGGUUUGCGGUGGGCGGUCUCCCAGUGUGUGGGGCUGUGGGAGGGCGGCGGCGACCGAGGGUGUGCCGGCUCUUUGGGGGUGGGGAGCUUUUAAAAGUUCAGUGUGAAUCAGGUGACAUUUCCCACCUUCUGGAAACCCUUCCCAAUUAUCUGUCGGAGGUGCCCGAAAUCAAA